UACGGGGGGAGCAAGCGUUGUUCGGAUUUACUGGGCGUAAAGGGCGCGUAGGCGGCGUGACAAGUCACUUGUGAAAUCUCCGGGCUUAACCCGGAUCGGCCAAGUGAUACUGUCGUGCUAGAGUGCGGAAGGGGCUACUGGAAUUCUCGGUGUAGCGGUGAAAUGCGUAGAUAUCGAGAGGAACACCUGCGGCGAAGGCGGGUAGCUGGGCCGACACUGACGCUGAGGCGCGAAAGCCAGGGGAGCGAACGGG
This 253-nucleotide ribosomal RNA is filed under the name uncultured bacterium. RNAcentral's name for it is "partial 16S ribosomal RNA". It matches the Rfam family "Bacterial small subunit ribosomal RNA", at positions 524 to 776 of the family's 1533-position model. The record is from RNAcentral.